RNAcentral lists this ribosomal RNA (253 nucleotides) under uncultured bacterium. Its description in RNAcentral is "partial 16S ribosomal RNA". It matches the Rfam family "Bacterial small subunit ribosomal RNA", at positions 524 to 776 of the family's 1533-position model. The record is from RNAcentral.
UACAGAGGGGGCAAGCGUUGUUCGGAAUUACUGGGCGUAAAGGGCGCGUAGGCGGCCUGUUAAGUCGAACGUGAAAUCCCCGGGCUCAACCCGGGAACUGCGUCCGAUACUGGCAGGCUUGAAUUCGGGAGAGGGAUGUGGAAUUCCAGGUGUAGCGGUGAAAUGCGUAGAUAUCGGAAGGAACAUCAGUGGCGAAGGCGGAACUCUGGGCCGGAACUGACGCUGAGGAGCGAAAGCGUGGGGAGCGAACAGG